RNAcentral lists this ribosomal RNA (233 nucleotides) under uncultured bacterium. RNAcentral's name for it is "partial 16S ribosomal RNA". It matches the Rfam family "Bacterial small subunit ribosomal RNA", at positions 355 to 578 of the family's 1533-position model. The record is from RNAcentral.
UCGAGAAUCUUCCACAAUGGACGAAAGUCUGAUGGAGCGACGCCGCGUGAGUGAUGAAGGCCCUACGGAUUGUAAAACUCUGUCAGGAGAGAAGAAUCGCCGGGGUGCCACUACCACCCUGGUCUGACGUUAUCUCCAGAGGAAGCUCCGGCUAACUCCGUGCCAGCAGCCGCGGUAAUACGGGGGGAGCAAGCGUUGUCCGGAAUUAUUGGGCGUAAAGGGCGUGUAGGCGG